UACGGGAGGCAGCAGUGGGGAAUAUUGCACAAUGGGGGAAACCCUGAUGCAGCGACGCCGCGUGAGCGAAGAAGUAUUUCGGUAUGUAAAGCUCUAUCAGCAGGGAAGAAAAUGACGGUACCUGACUAAGAAGCACCGGCUAAAUACGUGCCAGCAGCCGCGGUAAUACGUAUGGUGCAAGCGUUAUCCGGAUUUACUGGGUGUAAAGGGAGCGUAGACGGUUGUGUAAGUCUGAUGUGAAAGCCCGGGGCUCAACCCCGGGACUGCAUUGGAAACUAUGUAACUAGAGUGUCGGAGAGGUAAGCGGAAUUCCUAGUGUAGCGGUGAAAUGCGUAGAUAUUAGGAGGAACACCAGUGGCGAAGGCGGCUUACUGGACGAUCACUGACGUUGAGGCUCGAAAGCGUGGGGAGCAAACAGGAUUAGAUACCCUGGUAGUCCACGCCGUAAACGAUGACUACUAGGUGUCGGGGAGCAAAGCUCUUCGGUGCCGCAGCAAACGCAAUAAGUAGUCCACCUGGGGAGUACGUUCGCAAGAAUGAAACUCAAAGGAAUUGACGG
Molecule: ribosomal RNA, 559 nt
Filed under: uncultured bacterium
Lineage: Bacteria
Description: bacterial SSU rRNA
Rfam family: Bacterial small subunit ribosomal RNA
Source: RNAcentral